Schistosoma mansoni is the source of this 46-nucleotide non-coding RNA. The record is from Rfam. NCBI's taxonomy places the organism in Eukaryota, Metazoa, Platyhelminthes, Trematoda, Strigeidida, Schistosomatidae.
GCACUGUUGAGGACUCCCAAAAUAGGACGAAACGGCCGUCCAGUGC